This 377-nucleotide ribosomal RNA is filed under the name uncultured bacterium. RNAcentral's name for it is "bacterial SSU rRNA". It matches the Rfam family "Bacterial small subunit ribosomal RNA", at positions 362 to 758 of the family's 1533-position model. The record is from RNAcentral.
UAUUGGACAAUGGGGGAAACCCUGAUCCAGCAAUGCCGCGUGAAUGAUGAAGGCCUUAGGGUUGUAAAGUUCUUUCACCUGUGAAGAUAAUGACGGUAGCAGGAGAAGAAGCCCCGGCUAACUCCGUGCCAGCAGCCGCGGUAAGACGGAGGGGGCUAGCGUUGUUCGGAAUGACUGGGCGUAAAGGGCGCGUAGGCGGUUUUUUAAGUGAGGCGUGAAAGCCCUGGGCUUAACCCAGGAGGUGCGUUUCAUACUGGAAGACUUGAGUACGAGAGAGGAAAGCGGAAUUCCUAGUGUAGAGGUGAAAUUCGUAGAUAUUAGGAAGAACACCAGGGCGAAGGCGGCUUUCUGCUCGUAACUGACGCUGAGGCGCGAAA